CCUACGGGGGGCAGCAGUGAGGAAUAUUGGUCAAUGGGCUUACGCCUGAACCAGCCAAGUCGCGUGAGGGAAGACUGCCCUAUGGGUUGUAAACCUCUUUUGUCAGGGAGCAAUUGGCGCUACGUGUAGCGUUAUCGAGAGUACCUGAAGAAAAAGCAUCGGCUAACUCGGUGCCAGCAGCCGCGGUAAUACGGAGGAUGCGAGCGUUAUCCGGAUUUAUUGGGUUUAAGGGGUGCGUAGGCGGAAUGCCAAGUCAGCGGUAAAAUCGCGGGGCUCAACCUCGCUCCGCCGUUGAAACUGGCGGUCUUGAGUGCGCGAGAAGUAUGCGGAAUGCGUGGUGUAGCGGUGAAAUGCAUAGAUAUCACGCAGAACUCCGAUUGCGAAGGCAGCAUACCGGCGCCCAACUGACGCUGAAGCACGAAAGCGUGGGUAUCGAACAGGAUUAGAUACCCCAGUAGUC
RNAcentral lists this ribosomal RNA (460 nucleotides) under uncultured bacterium. RNAcentral's name for it is "partial 16S ribosomal RNA". It matches the Rfam family "Bacterial small subunit ribosomal RNA", at positions 338 to 795 of the family's 1533-position model. The record is from RNAcentral.